Molecule: ribosomal RNA, 670 nt
Filed under: Pythium insidiosum
Lineage: Eukaryota; Oomycota; Peronosporomycetes; Pythiales; Pythiaceae
Description: eukaryotic LSU rRNA
Rfam family: Eukaryotic large subunit ribosomal RNA
Source: RNAcentral
GCGGGAUGAGCUCAAGCUUAAAAUCUCUGUGCAGGUUCUGCAUGGCGAAUUGUAGUCUAUGGAGGCGAUGUCAGUGCGGUUGUGCGGGAUAAGUUCCUUGGAAGAGGACAGCAUCGAGGGUGAUACUCCCGUAUGUGCCUGUACAGCUGCGCGUACGACACGUUUUCUUUGAGUCGCGUUGUUUGGGAAUGCAGCGCAAAGUAGGUGGUAAAUUCCAUCUAAAGCUAAAUAUUGGUGCGAGACCGAUAGCGAACAAGUACCGUGAGGGAAAGAUGAAAAGAACUUUGAAAAGAGAGUUAAAGAGUACCUGAAACUGCUGAAAGGGAAUCGAAUCGUUUCCAGUGUCUAUAAUCCAUGACAUAUUUCAUUGGCGCGUGAAUGCGUGCAGCGUUUUGGAAGUGGGUUUCCUCUCCUGGCGUUGUUGUGCGUUUGCUUGCUGGUGCCCUGUGUUGUGGUGGGACGUCAGAGUCAGUUCGUAUGCCGCGGGAAAUGGCUGUCAGGGAGGUAGGUCGCUUCGGUGAUUGUUAUAGCCUGGCAGUUAGUAGUCGUGGUUGGGACUGAGGUGCCUACAACGCGCUUUCGAGUCUGCGGGACUCUCGUCUGGUUGCCUGCUUGGACAGCUUGCUGUGCUAGUGGUCACAUCGGGCGAUUGAGAUCUGUAGUAACUUGU